This is a long non-coding RNA of Ornithodoros turicata, 631 nucleotides long. RefSeq lists it as uncharacterized. Lineage: Eukaryota; Metazoa; Arthropoda; Arachnida; Ixodida; Argasidae. The transcript is spliced from 2 exons. The record is from RefSeq and is a predicted model, not a curated record.
GUACUUUCGAGCUGUGUGGCGACGAUUUCCCCGAAGGCUGUUCCUCAAGCAUUUUAUCAAAUGUGGGAAAUCAGAUGUGAACCACAGCUGCCUUGAAAAGUUGCAUGGAUGGGUACAGUUGACUUCACUGGUGUUGACUCCAAAGUGAGACCACAUGUUCCUGUUCCACGAUGCCCCAUCAGUGGUCACUACAUCUACCAGGAGUCCUGCAUUCUCAAGUAGGAUGAUGCACUCGAGGACAAGUUUGUGCAGUACAUUUCCUGGUGCACUGCCCUUGCUGAGGAAACAUGCCAAGGCCUGAACCCACUUGCCCCUGAAAGGCUGGAACAUGAAGACCAGGGCGUGGUCUCCCUUCUUGCUCUUCUGGGACUCUGGUGUGUAUUUUCCCAAAUUUGUGAAGCCAUGAAGCUUGUAUGAGGACCGGUCUAGUGAUACACCCUCUGUCAGCUUCAUCUCGUCAACGAGGAGGGCUCCUGAAAUUUAGCGAUAUUAAGUGUAAAUCCCUAGUGCGUAUGUUCAAGUUUUACCACACAGUGAUAUGGGGUACGAGCAACGAAGGUAAUGCAUAUUUUUUAAAAGAAGGAUAAACUGCACACAUUUGUUGCAGUUCAGUAAAAUGCUACCACUGCCA